UUUUUUUUUUUUUUUUUCCUUGGAUGCAUAUGACCAGUGGGCUUUAAUGAAAAUUCUGUUCUGUUUACAGCUUGAGAAUGGAACAAAAAAUUAAUCUUAUCAUUGGCAUUAUUGGGAUAUUCUUUUAUAAGGGCAUUACUGGGAUAUCAAUUUGAUUUGAUUUGGCUGUUUAUAUGCAACAGAUUUUAAUGGAGUGGUGGUGGUGCGGAAUUAUCUAAAUAGGACUGGACGUGCAGAGUGGGCCAGACAGGUUAACUUAAUAGUCAAACUUUUCAUUAUAAAUAAUCUUUGUCAAGAAUGUUCAAUUUCAUUUACUUGCUUUUGUAACUUAGGAAGUACCUUAUAAUCUGCCCUCUCUAUAGUAAGCAAUUCCUGCACACUCUUCUUGAAACUUGAUGCUUACAUUUUUCUUUUAUAAUGCAUUUCUUCAGAACUGAAUGUGUAUUAAUAUUGUUUUUAUAGCUGUUGUUACCCAUGCAUGGAGACAAGUUUGCCGAGUCCACUGAUUUUCUCUCUCUUGUUGAGUUCUCAUUCAAUUUUGUUCUAUAUAUCAGUAUUUCGAGUCCAUUUUCCCCAUAAAUUUCUACAUUACAAUUCCAAGUCCAAUCUAAUUUUUCUUGGUUAGCUUAAUUUUUAAGUUUCUCUCUAGCAUUUUAUACCUCAAAAGUUUUUGUGUAAUGCCUGAUGCAAAUCUUUAGACCACCAACAUCAUUGGAGUCAGAUAGUCAAUGCAGCCAAAAAUUUUGAAUCCAGUUGAUGCAGUCAGGGAAAACUGGAUUUAGGGAUUAUUUUGAUAUAAAUCUUUAUUAGGAAAUUCAAAAUUUUCUUGUAACAUUUUUAUUUAGAAAUGAGGAUUAAUAUCUCUUGCAGAUUUUGUUAUCUUAGGAAUGUAUAUAUAGUUGUUUGGUUCCCUAUUUAAUAUUGGUUUAGAUUUUUCUUAGUUUGGGUUUGGGAUUCCUAUUCCCAUCCAAGUUGUAACUUUUUAUUCCCUCUUUGUACUCCCUCAAUCGUUACAUGCGUACAAAUUUCAGCCUCAAAACUAACAAACCGUAACUCCCUAAGACUAAUCAAUUGCUUCAAUUUGCUCAUCACAAAGCAUUAGUAGGUUUGUGGUCAAUCUGUCCUGCUUCACCUAUUUUUCUAGUAGUAAGGCUGCUAAAAUAAUCAUUCUCAUUCCCCACUUGACCUUUUAGUGGAAUUAAGAGGUCUCUGACACUUAAACUUGAAUUUCCUUGUUUUAUUCAGUCUCAACAUGGCCAAGACUUUGCCAUAUAGCUGAUCCAUUUAGUUUGGGAAUUGGGAUAAAAGUUUAGUUCAGUUGAGUUAUUAUUUUAAAAGAGUUGAUUUCUGCCUUGGAUUGAUUGAUGCAGUUCAACCUUAGGUGUGAUGCUUUUCGGUCCCAAGCUCAUCUAAGAUCAAUGAUGCUUAUCAAGAGGCUUCAGGAGGCUUAAUUUUGUAAGGGAAAAAAAAGAAGAAGAAGAAGAUAAUCACAAGAAAAGAGUUUGGUUGCGGGAGAAAGGAGAAGAGGAACUAGAGGCGAGUUAAAGCAUCGAGAAGAAAUGAUUUGUUUAUUCAAGACUGAAUUGGAUUACAUCAAAUAGCUCCCUUUUUCUCUCUCCACUGUUUACUUUACUGUCAAAAUUAUAGUAACAUCUAAGUAACUCAUUGGCAGCUAAGGCUUAAAAACAGUUGCAACAUUUCUGUUGGCAACUAGUAUAGCUGACUGACUAGAUUUGUCAAGUUGAAAUAUUCUUACCAGAUGCACGUGUCGAUAUAAUUGAGAUUUGAAAUUCUUAUUGAAUCCUAGAAGUAUCGGAAUUUGCUUCCCUAUUAGAUUGCCUCAAAAGAACCCUAAAUUUUUCCCAAAUUACUAUUCACAAUCACAGGUAACACUUGCAAAUCUGCAUUAUGAACCACCUAGGUUAUGGUCUUUUCUCAUUUUAUUUUGUCCAUAUUUGUACGCAUUUGCAACCCUAGCUGCCUGCAUAACAUAAUCCCUUAAACAAGCCGAAACUUUUAAUUUGCAAGUCUUACAUCAACUGGGGUAUCACAUUUCUAAUGCUGUCCUUGUAGACAAUUCAUGUAUUGUCUUCUGAGGUUGAUCCUACUUUUAUGUUUGCAUGUACUGGCUUCUAGUUAGACCUAACCAAGCACCAGUUUGGAACCGGAAUCAAAUUGGAACUGGACCAGUUGAAACUGGAUUGGUCAAAACUGGAAUGACCAAAACCGGCAUUGAACUGAGUGAAAUAGGACUGGAGCUGGCAGGUUCAUUCCGGAUCAAUCCUUUUGUUUUUCUUCUUUUUUAAAAAUUAAAGAAAUUUAAAGAAAGUCAACCAUUGGAUUUGAUUAGAAUCAGAAACAAACUAGAGCCAAACCAAAACCGGAACCAGACUGGAAUUAGACUGAAACCAGAACCAAACUGAAAUUGGGGGAACUCUGGAUGGCCAGUUGUCCUCCAGAACCUUGAAUUGGAACUGUCAGUUUAGGCGGUUCAGGCCUAGAACUGGCCCCUGGCCGCCCCUACUUCUAUUGGGUGGUCUGACAAUGAAAGGCAGAACCAAUUUAUCCAUUCUAUUCUGUUAUUGAACUGCGAAUGAUGAAUUUCUAACAUGGUAGAUGUGUUUGUGCAUAUGUUAGUAUAUGCAUAUGUAACUAACUGGAGUUGCUGCUGUGCAGUUUCGUGAAGCUGCAAAGGAGAAGGAUGAUACUGCAUUGCUCAAGAUCAUGUCAAACUAUGGCGAGGAAGUAGUUACCGCUUUAGGAAGUGAAGUUGAUAGGCUUGAAAAGGAGAUCCAGGAGCUUGUUCCUGGUAUUCGGCAUGUUGAUAUAGAAGCUCACAAUCCAACAGGACCAACCCCUUGAUUAUAAUGUUCAUACGGCAUUUCUAUGUUACAUAAUGCAUGGAUGAAUAUCAUGCAUGCAACAAGAAAUGGCAGAUAAAUGGCUUUUUGCAUAUUUGCGCCAAGUAACAUACUAUGCAAAUAUUUAUAGGGAGAUUCCCAAUCUGUUAAUAUAUGGAUAGUUUUCCUGGAAUUGGUAUAUUUUAAGAAUUUGCCUUGAGCAAAUUGAUUGGAAUUUUCUAGACAGUUGAGCUGCCUUUGGUUUUCAUGAAAUGAAUUAAUUUUGUUCGUAAGUUGCAUGUGUUGAAUACAAAAUCGUGGAAUGUUU
Molecule: unclassified non-coding RNA, 3168 nt
Filed under: Hevea brasiliensis (rubber tree)
Lineage: Eukaryota; Viridiplantae; Streptophyta; Magnoliopsida; Malpighiales; Euphorbiaceae
Source: RNAcentral